This is a long non-coding RNA of Peromyscus maniculatus bairdii (prairie deer mouse), 683 nucleotides long. RefSeq lists it as uncharacterized. The record is from RefSeq and is a predicted model, not a curated record. NCBI's taxonomy places the organism in Eukaryota, Metazoa, Chordata, Mammalia, Rodentia, Cricetidae.
UCUAGAACAUGGGAGGGCAGUUAAUUUCUUGUGAGGGGCUGUUUACACAUUCCGCCUCUCUACAUAUUAUCUUACUUCUGUAACUCUUGUAGAAAUGGGUGUUGCCGCCUCUCUUGGCAGAAACACAGGGCAGAAAGUCAACAGUCAAUAGGGUAAGCCUUGGCCUUCUCUCACACUUUCUACAUGGACUCGGGCAGAUCACAGUUCUAAAUGGAAAAGAUAUGUCGCUUUCUUGCCUUUCCUGGACCUACACGAAAUCUGACUGUGCUGAGGUCCAUAUUCAGGCGAUAGGCGAUUCCUAAACACAUGGAUGAAGGUGUUUUCAGAGACAUUCAACUAAGGGAAGACCCAACUCAAAUGUGAGUGGCACCAUCCCCACAGGCAGGGGCCCAGGUCUGAAUAAAAAGCAGGAAAGGAGCAAGACAACUGAAAACCAGCAUUCAUCACAUCUCCUGCUCUGGUCACCAUGACUUCCCGCCAUGAUGGACUGUGUCCUCAACCCAUAAGCCCAGACAAACAUGGCUGAUUCAUUCAUUUACUCCAACAAUUCUGGGAGGUGGUGAGAUGCUCACAGCGGUCCAGGAGCAGUGACGAUUGCAAUGGACUAAACGUACAAAUGAAGAGGUGAGAAAUUAAGUCACUGGCCAGAAGACCUACACCCCAUUUCCAAUUUGCAAUGAACU